RNAcentral lists this long non-coding RNA (309 nucleotides) under Elaeis guineensis (African oil palm). RNAcentral's name for it is "long non-coding RNA (EGUI_LNC014458)". Lineage: Eukaryota; Viridiplantae; Streptophyta; Magnoliopsida; Arecales; Arecaceae. The record is from RNAcentral.
CAGCGAUGUCUGUAACUGCCUGGUAGUGAGCCGUUCGGGGCCACGUAGAGUUUGUUAUGGAGAGUAGUGGUAUCCAUUGUCGUGACCUGUCGGAGAGUGGUGGGGCCACAUGGAGUUUGUUACAGAGAGUGGAGUGGUGUCCGUUAUCGUGACUUGUCGGGGAGUUCGGGCUGGAUGGUUGAAGCUUGGUUGGGACGUCUGGUGGAGCAGAAUAUCUCUCUGUCUCAGCAAUCUAAGAAAAGCUCGGAUGUUUUCGAGGUUGCUGACGGGUUAACUGUUGUUGGGUGCCUUAGGUAUUGAUGCUGCAGA